RNAcentral lists this ribosomal RNA (301 nucleotides) under uncultured bacterium. Its description in RNAcentral is "partial 16S ribosomal RNA". It matches the Rfam family "Bacterial small subunit ribosomal RNA", at positions 509 to 807 of the family's 1533-position model. The record is from RNAcentral.
CAGCCGCCGCGGUAAUACAGAGGGUGCAAGCGUUAAUCGGAUUUACUGGGCGUAAAGCGUGCGUAGGCGGCUUCUUAAGUCGGAUGUGAAAUCCCUGAGCUUAACUUAGGAAUUGCAUUCGAUACUGGGAAGCUAGAGUAUGGGAGAGGAUGGUAGAAUUCCAGGUGUAGCGGUGAAAUGCGUAGAGAUCUGGAGGAAUACCGAUGGCGAAGGCAGCCAUCUGGCCUAAUACUGACGCUGAGGUACGAAAGCAUGGGGAGCAAACAGGAUUAGAUACCCCCGUAGUCCCUGUCUCUUAUAC